UCCGUAUCAAAUAGAAAUGCAGGCGACUGAGUGUACCCAUACGGUUCAUUCAUUUGCAAAGUAGGCUCCGAGGCAUAAUACUGACUAUCUGAAACCUUCAGUACUGGCUCACUGGCAGACCUAGGAAGCCUCAUUGUGGGACGCACAACAUAUAUGGGAGUUUCAUGUGGUGGUGGAGCCACGAAUACCGGUGUGAUCGGUGGCGCUGGCUGAGCAGUGNNNNNNN
This 226-nucleotide long non-coding RNA is filed under the name Capsicum annuum. RNAcentral's name for it is "long non-coding RNA (CANN_LNC021675)". The record is from RNAcentral. Lineage: Eukaryota; Viridiplantae; Streptophyta; Magnoliopsida; Solanales; Solanaceae.